Molecule: ribosomal RNA, 354 nt
Filed under: uncultured bacterium
Lineage: Bacteria
Description: bacterial SSU rRNA
Rfam family: Bacterial small subunit ribosomal RNA
Source: RNAcentral
UCAGCAGCCGCGGUAAUACGUAGGGGGCAAGCGUUGUCCGGAAUCACUGGGCGUAAAGCGCGUGUAGGCGGCCAGGUAAGUCAGAGGUGAAAACCGCGGCUCAAACCGCAGGCUUGCCUUUGAAACUACUUGGCUUGAGGUCAGAAGAGGAGAGUGGAAUUCCCAGUGUAGCGGUGAAAUGCGUAGAUAUUGGGAGGAACACCAGUGGCGAAGGCGGCUCUCUGGUCUGCACCUGACGCUGAGGCGCGAAAGCGUGGGUAGCAAACAGGAUUAGAUACCCUGGUAGUCCACGCCGUAAACGAUGGUGCUAGGUGUCUGGGGUAUGAACCCMUCAGGUGCYCVVMUAACGCGAUA